GGCUUUAUAGUCAAUCAUAUUAUGAUAUUAGACUGCAACUCUAAAGUAGGCAUAGCCUAAAGCUU
RNAcentral lists this transfer RNA (65 nucleotides) under Eysarcoris annamita. RNAcentral describes it as "tRNA-Cys". The record is from RNAcentral. Lineage: Eukaryota; Metazoa; Arthropoda; Insecta; Hemiptera; Pentatomidae.